AAAGCGGAAAUGGACGUGGAUUCAAUGGCGCGCCGUAGGAUUUGUUAGGUGUCUUGGAGGGUAAACGCGGUACAUACCUUUUUAAUAACACAGCAGCGUUUACUCACUUGUCAUUAUGCAAUUUAAAUGAUUUCAGUUAAAAAUACAUUAAUAAUGAAAACCGAGGCUACGAUCAACACCCACCUGGCAAGAAUAAGGAGAUGACGUCAGCGUCGGUUUGGAAAGUUGAGAAACUAGCAGCAUUUUCGGCUUUUAACAAAGAAUUACAAAAGAUCGUCAUGGCUACAGCAAUUCGUUUUGCAGUUGUGGGAUUUGCUUCUUCGUCAAACCCGUUCACAUCCCCAUCAACAUCAUCAUUGUAGGUGGUUUGGUGCCUGGAUGACUGGCUACAUGGAGGACAAACCUUUUUAAUAUAUCUUUUACAAUUUUUAAAAUAUAAAAUUUGUAUUUAUAUAUGGCUGUGUUAAUAAAACACGCAUGCGUGAAUCAUAAUUGAA
Molecule: long non-coding RNA, 497 nt
Organism: Brienomyrus brachyistius
Lineage: Eukaryota; Metazoa; Chordata; Actinopteri; Osteoglossiformes; Mormyridae
Exons: 4
Source: RefSeq, a predicted model, not a curated record